RNAcentral lists this ribosomal RNA (440 nucleotides) under uncultured bacterium. RNAcentral describes it as "partial 16S ribosomal RNA". It matches the Rfam family "Bacterial small subunit ribosomal RNA", at positions 338 to 795 of the family's 1533-position model. The record is from RNAcentral.
CCUACGGGUGGCAGCAGUGGGGAAUAUUGCACAAUGGGGGAAACCCUGAUGCAGCGACGCCGCGUGAGUGAUGAAGGAAUUCGGAAUGUAAACUCCUAUUAGCAGAGAAGAAAAUGACGGUACCUAAGGAAGAAGCACCGGCUAACUACGUGCCAGCAGCCGCGGUAAUACGGAGGGGGCAAGCGUUAUCCGGAUUUACUGGGUGUACAGGGAGCGUAGGCGGGAGUGCAAGUCCGGUGUGAAAGGCGGGGGCUUAACCAUCGGACUGCAUUUGAAACUGUACUGCUGGAGUGUAGGAGAGGUAGGUGGAAUUCCUGGUGUAGCGGUGAAAUGCGUAGAUAUCAGGAGGAACACCAGUUGCGAAGGCGACCUGCUGGAAUAUAACUGACGCUGAGGCGCGAAAGCGUGGGGAGCAAACAGGAUUAGAUACCCGAGUAGUC